RNAcentral lists this ribosomal RNA (427 nucleotides) under uncultured bacterium. RNAcentral describes it as "bacterial SSU rRNA". It matches the Rfam family "Bacterial small subunit ribosomal RNA", at positions 356 to 774 of the family's 1533-position model. The record is from RNAcentral.
GGGGAAUAUUGCGCAAUGGGGGAAACCCUGACGCAGCGACGCCGUGUGAGGGAAGAAGGCUUUCGGGUCGUAAACCUCUGUCGGGAAGGAAGAACCCCCCAGGUCCGAAUAGGGCCUGGGGCUGACGGUACUUCCAAAGGAAGCACCGGCUAACUCCGUGCCAGCAGCCGCGGUAAUACGGAGGGUGCAAGCGUUAAUCGGAAUCACUGGGCGUAAAGCGCGCGUAGGCGGCUUUUUAAGUCGGACGUGAAAGCCCUCGGCUCAACCGUGAAAUGGCAGUUGAAACUGGUCGUCGCGAGUGCAGUAAAGGUGGGCGGAAUUCGUGGUGUAGCGGUGAAAUGCUUAGAUAUCACGAAGAACUCCAAUUGCGAAGGCAGCUCACUGGAGUGUAACUGACGCUGAUGCUCGAAAGUGUGGGUAUCAAACA